Molecule: non-coding RNA, 73 nt
Organism: Paramuricea clavata
Lineage: Eukaryota; Metazoa; Cnidaria; Anthozoa; Malacalcyonacea; Plexauridae
Source: the annotation of a GenBank genome assembly
GACCGCGUAGCUCAGUUGGCAGAGCAUUGGGCUAGUACUCCAAAGGUCGUAGGUUCGAAUCCCACCGUGGCCA